This 261-nucleotide ribosomal RNA is filed under the name uncultured archaeon. Its description in RNAcentral is "partial 16S ribosomal RNA". It matches the Rfam family "Archaeal small subunit ribosomal RNA", at positions 748 to 1008 of the family's 1478-position model. The record is from RNAcentral.
CAGCCGUAAACUAUGCGCGUUAGGUGUACUGGUGACCACGAGUCACCGGGGUGCCGAAGGGAAACCGUGAAACGUGCCGCCUGGGAAGUACGGUCGCAAGGCUGAAGCUUAAAGGAAUUGGCGGGGGAGCACCACAACGGGUGGAGCCUGCGGUUUAAUUGGACUCAACGCCGGAAAUCUCACCGGAUAGGACAGACAUAUGAUAGUCGGGCUGAAGACUCUACUUGAUGAUCUGAGAGGUGGUGCAUGGCGUCAGUGACU